AAAUGUGUUGUUUUGUUUUUUGUCUGGAAAAGGCAGUUCAUAGUUGAGUUGGGUUCACUCAGGGUUUUGUUUCUUUCCUUCAGAUGGAGUGAAUAUGAUGAUUCUGUGAAGGUUUAUUGCAACAUGGCUUUUUCAGCACAGCAACAGGAAAAUUUGACUCUGGGUCUGUUCUACAAAAUUAAAGUCAUGGGAUGCUCGUGAAUUAAGAAACAACCAAAAAUGCCAAAUAUUGAGACUCUUGAAAUCAAAUUAAGUAUGAUCUGAGAUUAAGAGCUUCUGAGAAGAAUUUAAGCAUGAACAUAUAUAUUGAUAUGAAGUCCACUUACAAUGAAGAAAGGAGUGACCUCUCGAUCAACUAUGGAUGUUAUAUUAAUUUCACCAGUUUUCUGAUUAAUGACAAAGAUCCCAUAUGGUGGCUGAUCAAUUCCUACUCCAGAGAUGCGGGUCUGUGCUUGCACUGGAGCUACAGAAGGAAACUCCUUGCCCUCUUAAGGAGUUUAUCAAUGUUGUCAUCAUGCAACUUUAAUCUUCAAUUUGUUUUAAAUGUAAAGUUUUCGAAGAAAGUAGAUUUAUUUAGGUGACAAGAGUUAUCUGGGUUUGAGUGGAAGCUCUGAAUUCUGAAAAUGGGAAGGGUGUAUUAGCAGAAAAGGAAGGAGACCACAUGAAUAAAUGGUUAUAGAAACCAGAACUCUUUCUUUGAAAUAAAAUAUUGUUUGGCUGUAAACAAAUCUUAGUGGGGAGUAUUUGUGAGUGUCUGUGUGGAUGUGUGUGUAUAUUUGUGUGUGUAUCUGUAGACGUGUACAUCUGUAUGUUCAUGAAUUUGUGGGGGGUGUUUCUGAGUGUGUGUGUAUGUAGAAAGGAAGAUAUGGAAAAAUGAAUAGAAAAGGGGUAUGAGAGAGGGCACCUUGUGAAUGUUAAUAAACAAACAAAAAAGUAGGAAUUCAAUUCUAAUACAUUGUGAGGCAAAAAGAGCACACAUUGAAGUAAUUCCUUUGAAUGUGCUGAAAGCCAAAUUCUUUAUUAAAAUAAUGAUCUUUUUUCACCUGGAGUUUGGGAUAACACAUGAUCAUGUGUAUGCAUUUCACCAGUGAGGUGAGUCAACGUUUACCUGUUUCUCUGAGCACCUGCAUUUCUUAAUUUCUCCUUAUGAGUUUCAGUUUUCAUCAUCUAGAUGACUAUAGUUCUGUUCUGUAUCGUAGUUUCUCGGUGAGACAUGUUCAUGAAAUAUUUAACAGACAGUUUCUUUUGAAACUUUAUCCAUUCUGAUUUUCAAUGUUAUGCUUUGGAGUUGAUACCUACUUUGGCGAUUGGGUUCCUCUUUGAGUUGUCUUCACCUUCACGACAGGCUGCUGCGAACUUGAUCCAUUCACGUUUCUGCCUUCGGAUUGAAUGCCAUUUGAUGGUGCCAUUUUUAGUGUUAUAAUCUCUUACCUUAAAUGACAGCAAUAAAGAAAUGGUAUAUAUUAAUUUGAAUUCGUAAUUCAAAUUCCACUGAGAUUUUUGGAAGAGGAUAUAAUCUCAGAAAUAGAGGAUGUUUAAUCGGGAAAAUUGGUAAUUUUGGUAAUCUAUUAAUUUUAGCAUUAUAUGAACUUGACUUAUGAGAAUACAUUUUCUUCAGAAAAUAUAUUGUUAUUCUCAAAUUAUUUUCUUGUUUAAAAAUUUGGAAAAAUGGAUUUGUUAUAUAUUACCUGGAUUCGGAAUUCACUGUUAACUUCUACCACCACCUGUAAAAAAUAAGAUAAUCACACUAGUUAUUUUUAAUUAAAUGCUUUAAAAUUUAUAUUAUCCAGUUACUUUAAAAACAACAUGAAACCAUAGGCUUUUGAGUCAUUAAAAUUAUUUUAUCAGCCAAAUAGCAGGUGGAUUUGGUUUAUGUCUUGGGUCUGAUGAUGAUGCUAAGAAUUUUUGUUUUUACCUUUCAAUUUACUCUCCUUUUUAUUACUAUUAUUUUGUACUUUUAUUUCUCCCUAAAUAAGAAAUUUUCAACUUUUAAUUGAAUUUAUUCAGAAUUGCAAAGUAUGAAAAACUUUAUUUGUAUAACUGAUAUAAGAAAAUUAUAGUUUACAUUUAAAAAUACUAACAGUAGUAAUUUAAAAAUAUAAAAAAGUUCUUUUUAUAGUUAAUUUUAAUUGUACCAUUAAAGAAAAUAUAAACU
Long non-coding RNA from Pongo pygmaeus (Bornean orangutan), 2155 nucleotides. RefSeq lists it as uncharacterized. The transcript is spliced from 3 exons. The record is from RefSeq and is a predicted model, not a curated record. NCBI's taxonomy places the organism in Eukaryota, Metazoa, Chordata, Mammalia, Primates, Hominidae.